UAAGAAAAUGCUAAAGCAUGUAAAAAUUCACAAAAUCGUAAUAACCCGCCAAACAUUGUUAGAUAUUGAAUUUGGAAUAAAAAAAUAACAUCAAUAAAAACAAAUAGAAAAAAAGCCAAACUAUGCGUUAUAGUCUAUAAUUGAUGGGUGUAAUAAUUAGAGCCAUGAGCUAUUAGCUUCUGUGAUAUGUAAGAAAAAAUAUUUUCCACGAGAUGGAUUUGAGUCCCUUAAUUCAUUGAAUAAUCAUUUGUAACUGCACAAGUAGUUUAUUAGCUUUACUUGGUAAUGAUUUUUUUACCACACCUUUUCCAUGAGGUAGAUGUCCUAGUAGGGGUUUAUAUUUCCCCCCUCCUUAGCCCCCCUAUAUUCUUUCUUCCUAUUCCUUCC
Molecule: long non-coding RNA, 387 nt
Filed under: Setaria viridis
Lineage: Eukaryota; Viridiplantae; Streptophyta; Magnoliopsida; Poales; Poaceae
Description: long non-coding RNA (SVIR_LNC003771)
Source: RNAcentral